This 6845-nucleotide long non-coding RNA is filed under the name Sus scrofa (pig). Its description in RNAcentral is "lncRNA (ENSSSCG00000060049.1)". Lineage: Eukaryota; Metazoa; Chordata; Mammalia; Artiodactyla; Suidae. The record is from RNAcentral.
CAAUUAGUGACCUCCAGGUUUCUUUCCAAUAUGAAUUGACUCCUUGACACAUUUUUACCCAGCUACCUCUGCCAUCAUCUUGGACAAUAGGAAUCCACCUUCUAACAAGGAAGCUCCCAUCUCCAUGACUUCCUGAACUUCAAUUACCUUACUGGUUCUAUACACUUCAGUUACCCAUAUAGCUAUGACUCAAACUCUGUGACUAUCCCCAGUAAUUCAGUGGCUCAAAUUUAAAUGUGAAAAAUCCCAGUCUUUUGAUUUCCCAUUCUUACAGUAACUCAUUCCGUCAAUCCCUACACCCACUUUUCCUAUUUUUACAAUAUCCAGUCCCUUGGGAGUCAGUGAGCUUUUUUUGUCUCUGUAGAUGUUCAGGAAGAAGAAGAAUGAUCAUCUGUCAGCAACACAACCCAGGGCUACCCUGGCCUUUUGAAAAAGUCAUGUUGCCCUAGAAGGUGGUGGGAUAUGGAAUUCAAAGACAUAGUGCAACUGUGAUUUAAAUGAUUGAUUAUAGUAGCUGCAGAGGCCUGAACUUCCAAGAAGUUUUCUCUAUUUAAAUAACCAAGGUUCUAAAUUAGGCACCAGAUAAUGACAAAAUAAUUAAAGCAAUAAAUGCUGAAAAAUUUUAGCAGGAUAAAGAAAAGAUGUGUGUCAAUUUAAAUAAGCUCAGUAAUAGGGGUAGGGUAUUCAGAGGUAUAAACUGUUAUGUAUAAAUUAAAUAAGCUCUGUGGAUAUAUUGUACAACAAGGUAAUAUAGCCAAUAUUUUAUAAUAACUAUAAAUGGAGUAUUACCUUUAAAGAUUGUGAAUCACUAUGUUAUACAGCUGUAUCAUAAAAUAUAAUAUGGUGUAUCAACUGCACUUCAAUAAGUAAAUUGCUAGUUAGCUACCUGGAUAACACUGAGUAAUACCUUGCAAAUGCAAGACAUACAGUGAGACACAAGAGACUGCAAUAUGUAAUACCUAGUUUAUUGAAGGAAAACGGUGCUGCUCAAAAACACAUACAAUGUGUAGGAUAAGACUUAUUAGGGCUAUAACAUCAGCCUCAAAACCAGUGUGCUGAGGUAAAUUAAAAUUUGCCUCAGUUUUUAGACUCAAAUUUAGAUCAGACUCAAUUAGAAGAAACUUACUGAUUGUAACAAGAAAAGAUAAUAUAAGAAAAAGAAUACUAAACUUGCAAACUAAGUGAAAGCGACAUGAAAAGUCAAAAUAUAUACAAAUUUAUGACCAAUCUGAAAUCCAAAUGUUAAUCUCCAGACUGCUGGGAUAAAAAUACUCUUACAUGGAAAUUCUAAGCAUUUAUUGGACUUGGGAUUAUUGUUUUAGUAUCUUACAUUGUCAUCAAGGCAGACAAUCAUUAACAAUCCACCUUUUUUUAACUAUUAAGAGGUCAAAAAAUAGAAUAAUUUAUGCAUCAAAAAUGUCUGAGACAUUGGUUACCAAUUAAUAAAAUCAAAGGGUAGAAUGUUAGAAGAGACCCUCAAAAAUCCUAGGACAAUCUAGCAUGAACAUGGGAUUAUUUUUCUUUUCCCUGAGGAACAAAAGGAAGUUAAUACACCAUAACCAUUGUUUGCAAGCUAUGUACAAGAUCUAUGUGCCUCCUUUCGAGAAAAUAAAUACACUGAGGGAGGUGAAAACAUAACACCUGCCAUAUACCUUGCUCAAAGCUCCUUGUUAGAAAAUUAUGCUGACUUGCUCACUCUGGUUCUUCUAGAAAAGAGAAACAACGUCAUCUCUCAUCGUCCUAAAUGAAUGAAGAGAAUUAUUGUUGACAGAUACAAUGAACCUAAAAUUUGGGCUCUGAAUAAAGUCUAAAAAAGAAUCAUACCACCUUCCCAUUACUACUGUUCUUUCCUGAAACAGCCACUGAAUUUCUGCCAAAGACCUGAGAACUCUGAGCAAAACCUUUCUACUACAUCCUAUCAUCAAGCAAGCUCUGCCAUCUUGAAUUCCAGGGUGAUUCAGAUCUUUAUUAUUUUAUUAUUGAAUUUUCUGAUCCAUUAUUUUCCUAUUACAUAUCUUUUAAAAUUAUUUUUAUUUUUUCUGAUUCAGAUCUUUAAAUCUCACUUUUGACAUAAAGCUGGAAGCAAGGUAGAUAAAACAAGGAUAUUUCUUAGCACCAUGUUUGAUAGCGAAGAAUGGACUGACAAAACUCUUGACAUAAGAGCCCUGAAUUGUCCGUUUCAUUGCAAGGAAAGCAUAUGCAUAACUUCUCACUCAGACUUCAGGAGACAUCCUUUAAUUUGGGGAAAGUCCUAUGACACUUUAUUCAAGGGUCAACUGGACAAAUAACUGCUAAGUUUCCUUGCAACUCCAGAGCUUUACAUAAGUGCUUGUUAUGUAGCUAGCUCCACAUAUAGCACUGAAAUAAUCUCUCAUGCAAAUGUUCAAAGGGUAGGAAAGGAAAUGCAAUGAGAAUAGUUUUAGCAUUUCCACAAAGGGAAAGUUGAUCUUUAUCAUCUGAUGUGCAGUUAGACACUGGAUGGAUUUAGUACACUUGUUAACGUCAGCAAGAAUCCUAACUUGAUGUUUAAAAGCUGCCACUAUUGUUGGUGGUGGUUUUAACUCCCCUUCAAAUAUAUAUAUAGGAGUUCUCAUCAUGGUGCAUCUGAAAUGAAUCCGACUAGUAUCCAUGGGGAUUCAGGUUCGAUCCCGGGCCUCGCUCAAUGGGUCAGGGAUCCAGCAUUGCCAUGAGCUGUGGUGUAGAUCACAAACAUGGCUUGGAUCCCAUGUUGCUGUGGCUGUGGCAUAGGUCAGCAGCUGUAGGUGCAGCCCUAAAAACUGUGUGUGUGUGUGUGUGUGUGUGUGUGUGUGUGUGUGUGUGUGUGUAUGUAUACACCCCACUUAAGUAAUUCAAGCCUGAAAAAAAUUUGUAAAAUACUUCAGUUGUUAGCAUACUAUGGAAAAUUAAGCAGGUACUAAGCUGUUCAAAUGAAGUAAAUAGGUGAAAAAUGUAUCUAGCUCUUUAGCUUUACUCAGCCAUCCCCAUUACGGCCAAAAAUUCUUCAGGAAAAUAAUACAAGACAAAAGCUAGUUUGAAACCAAUGUCACAGGGGAAAAUGGUUCGAAACUCUAAAUAAGCUGAGUUUUAAAAGGAAAAUAAUGAAGCCACUAGCUUAAAAGCAAUAUACAAUUUAAAAGAUAGUCAUUCAGUGUGGACUACUUCACAUUUAAAAUGACUAAGCUCUUUCAUUUAAGGCAAGCCAGGUAUGGUGUUUACACAAACCAUUAGAAGCUGCUGGAAUAUAUGAAAUCCUAAAGAAUCCAAUAACACAUGCUGUGUGAUGAAUCACACAAAGCUUCUGAAUAUAAAAUAGCAGAGACAACACAAAUUUGAGAUUUGAAAUCUUAAAAGUGAGACCUGACAUCUUUGAUAGAAGUGCUGGAAUUAAUAAUGGCAUUUUGAAGUCUAUAUUAAAAAGAAAAUAAGCAAAUCCAUGUUCUUUUGGAAUGCACAUGCUCAUUAAGAGAUCCUAACAAGCUGACUGCCACAAAUGGGACAUAAUAGGUGUCUGAGGAGUGUCUGUGGCUCCCUGUCUCCCAGCCCAUAGAGUUGCCUUGGUGACUUUCUGUCUCAUACUGGUUAGCUCUCCAAAAAUACAACAAGCCAGAUGCCUGUGGGUUCGGGUGUGUCUAAUUGAGCCACACUGAGCACCAAAUGACCUGGAAAUGUUUAAUCCAGCUUUUGUCAGAACAAAUUACUGGGAUGUUCUCAUGCCCCUUAGGGACUAAUUUAUCAUCGGAUCCCAAGUCCUGUGCUAUGGGCCAAGGCUGAGGCUGACUUUGCCCCUGCGUGCAGAGUCUCUGGGUCUGGUGUUCUGAUAUGAAGAGGAACCACUCUAAAUGGGGGAACCAAUAAGAAGAUGGCCACAUGAGAUACUGCAAGGGCUCUGGAAAGAGGUGUGCCUCUUGUGCCUUUUGCUCCUCAAAGAGCUCUUCUUAGGAAAGAGAGGCUUAGUAUGCCCUCUACAAAUGGCCCUAUGAGACGUUACCGCUGAGACUGUAUACCAUGUGCUAUGGAUCGAAUGUUUGUGUUUGCCCCCUCCCCCACCAAAUUCAUGUCUUGAAACCCUACUCCAUAGUGUGAUGGUUUUAGGAAGUAGAACCUUGGACAGGUAACUAGAAUCCUAGGAGGCCAUGAGAGGGCAACCCUCAUGAAUGGGAUUAGUACCCUCAUAGAAUCAUGUUAGAUCCUGCCCCUUCUCUUUGCCCCCUGCCCUGUAAGGAUAUAACAAAAAGACAGCAGUCUGCAAACAACCUGAAAGUGGGCCUCUGCAGAACCCAACAUACUGGCCCCGGAUCUUGGACCUCCAGCCUCCAGAACUGUGAGAAAUAUAUUUCUGUAGUCUAUAAGCCACUCAGUCCAUGGUACUUUGUUAACAACAGCAGAACUAAGAUACCAUGCCAUGGCAGUGAGCACUAAACUAGCAGUUCUACUUUUUCAGUAUCAAAUGAUUCCUAUUUCAUAAACAAUUCACUAGGGCACAGGGAUUGCAGGAAAAAAACUUGAAAAUCAGGUUUGAGCUUAGUUUAUAUUAAUGUCAGAUAGGAUAAGCUGAGCUCCCUCUCAACUCACUGCUUACAACAGGACCCUGAUGGGGCACAGAGUGCUAGCUGCAAGGGCUUCCAGGAAUCUCACUAGACCUUCUCUGCACUCAAACUCCUCACUCAGCCUCAUGGACUCAUGCUUCACACUCCUUGACUUUGUUUUGUUAUUGUUCUUUUGGGCUUUGGACUCGGAGUGUUGAGUACAGUAGUCUUGAGUUUCAGGCUUUUCAUUAUCCUCAAUCCAAGCAAAGCCCUUCUCUUGUUUUAUUUCUGUAUUUUUUCCCAUAGUAAUCUACCCACACAGUUACUUCACCUCCCUCCUGCCCCAUAGGCAUUAAUUCCAAUGUGUUAAUAGAGGUCCUUGGAUCUAUAUGGAUCUUGGAAAGAUAUGUGACUGUGAUUUCAAUGUAUAUAAAUAGUAUUGAAUUUUAUAUAUAUAUAUAUAUGCAUAUAUGUACAUAUAUAUCACUGCAUCUACAUAAAUGUAAUACUGUUGCCUCUAGCUGAUGUCAAGAAUUCCAUUGUUUGCAUCUACUGCUUCUUACUAAGUGCAGCCAUUCUGCUCUGCAGAGAUUGCUCCUUUACAUUCCCAGGAGGGAUGCACCAGAAUUCCUGUUUGCUCACACUUGGUUUUAUCCAACUUUCUAACUUUGGAUGAUCUGAUGGUGGUACAGUGGGUCUUGUUAACUGUUGCAUUUCUCUGAUUGCUGCUUAAAUUGGAAGUCUCUUCACAUAUUUGUUACCCAUUUACAUUUCUCUUUUGGUGGGUGUCUUAUUUCUUUUGACCAUUUUUUGUUUAUUGAUUUAUUCACUGUAUAUCUUAGAUAUUAGUCCCUUGUUAGUAAAGUAUGUAUCUUCUUCAUGAUGGUAACAGAGUUCCAAGAGAGAAAGCACAGAAGCAUGUAUACAAGGCUUCUUGAAGCUUCGUCUCAGAGCUGACCCACCAUCACUUUUUGCCUCAUUCUAACGGCAAAUCAAGUCACAAAGCUAAGGCAGAUUUAAAGGAUGGGGAAAUAGACUGCCUCUUGAUUAAAUGAACUACAAAUUCACAUUGCAAAGGGCUAGUCAGGACCAUUUUUGCAAUCAAUCUACUACUCAAUUAUUUUAGUUAUCUAUUGAUUUAUAGCCAAGCACCCCCCCCCCAAUUUCAUGGCUUAUGACAACAAUUCAUUAUUAUCUCUUAUGGUUCUGGAUGGAUUUAUAUGAGAAGUUCUCAGUUGGGGUCUCUAAAGUAGUUACAGUCAGAUGAUGGCUGGGACUAGAGUGGUUAAUGUUAAUGACUGUUAUAUUCUUUUAAUUUUGAAUUAUUUCCUUUGAAAAAUUUUGGUGAAGAAAUAUUCUUCAUUUUGGGAGUUCCCAUUGUGGCUCAGUGGGUUACUAACCCAACUAGCAUCCAUGAGGAUGUGGGUUUGAUCCCUGGUCUUGCUCAGUAGGUUAAGGAUCCAGUGUUGCCGUGAGCUGUGGUGUAGGUUGCAGAUGCUGUUCAGAUCCUGUAUUGCUAUGACUAUGGUGUAGUCUGGAAGCUGCAACUCCAAUUUGACCCCUAGCUUGGGAACUUACAUAUGGUGCAGGUGUGGCCCUAAAAAAAGAAAAGAAAAGAAAUAUUCUUCAUUCAUAUCAAGUAUAACAUGUGUUUCUAAAAUAUAUCAUCACUGGCAUGUUUAGAUUCGUAUGGGAUUCAGUCAGAAGUGAUCCUUAGAUGUAGUGACUAUAACUCAAGUAGCAAUUUUAUUAUCAAACGGUAUAACUGGCAUGUUUUGGCACUAAAAUAUUAGAAACAGUUGAAAGAGUUGACUUUUUUUUUUUCUUUUUAGGGCCACACCCAUAGCAUAUGGAGGUUCUCAGGCUAGGGGUCCAACUGGAGCUACAUCUCCUGCCCUAUGCCACAGCCACAGCAAUGCCAGAUCUGAGCCACGUCUGUGACUUACACCACAGCUCACAGCAACACCGGAUCCUUUAACCCACUGAGCGAGGCCAGGGAUUGAACCCGAAACCUCAUGGUUCCUAGUCAGAUUCAUUUCCACUGCGCCACAAUGGGAACUCCAGAGUUGAUUUUUAAGAGAGAGUUGAUUUUAAGUUUUUUGUUUGUUUUAUUUUGUUUUUAGGAAACAUUUGGAAGCCUUUUUCUCCUAAGGGCUUCCCAUGGGUCCUAAAUAUAUAAUUUCUUUAGCAGGAGCCCAACCCUACUCUGUGGCAGCCCUCUGCUCACUCACCAAAAAGAUCUGGGUGAGCGGAGUCCACUCCCCACUGUGGUGUGGCUCCAGCCAGGCCCUUUGGUGCUAGGAAAGGCAUGGAGGCCAG